This 86-nucleotide transfer RNA is filed under the name Candidatus Peregrinibacteria bacterium. RNAcentral describes it as "tRNA-Leu". It matches the Rfam family "tRNA". From Rfam's summary of the family: Transfer RNA (tRNA) molecules are approximately 80 nucleotides in length. Lineage: Bacteria; Candidatus Peregrinibacteriota. RNAcentral also lists the same sequence under 1 other name. The record is from RNAcentral.
GCCCAGGUGGCGAAAUGGCAGACGCACUACCUUGAGGUGGUAGCGGGAGCAAUCCUGUGGGGGUUCAAGUCCCCCCUUGGGCACCA